UGCCUGGUAGGUAAAUCCGCCGGGCUUAGAUGAGGGGUGAUAACGAGUCUGCUUGCAGACGAAGUGAGCGAUACCAUGCUUCCAGGAAAAGCCACUAAGCUUCAGCUACACACGACCGUACCGCAAACCGACACUGGUGCGCGAGAUGAGUAUUCUAAGGCGCUUGAGAGAACUCAGGAGAAGGAACUCGGCAAAUUGACACCGUAACUUCGGAAGAAGGUGUGCCUUUAGUAUGUGAACCUGUACAAGGGGAGCAGAAUGAGGCCUCAGAGAAUCGGUGGCUGCGACUGUUUAAUAAAAACACAGCACUCUGCAAACACGAAAGUGGACGUAUAGGGUGUGACGCCUGCCCGGUGCUGGAAGAUUAAAUGAUGGGGUGCAAGCUCUUGAUUGAAGUCCCAGUAAACGGCGGCCGUAACUAUAACGGUCCUAAGGUAGCGAAAUUCCUUGUCGGGUAAGUUCCGACCUGCACGAAUGGCGUAACGAUGGCCACACUGUCUCCUCCUGAGACUCAGCGAAGUUGAAAUGUUUGUGAUGAUGCAAUCUCCCCGCGGAAAGACGGAAAGACCCCAUGAACCUUUACUGUAGCUUUGUAUUGGACUUUGAACAGAUCUGUGUAGGAUAGGUGGGAGGCUUUGAAGCAGGGUCGCUAGAUCUUGUGGAGCCAACGUUGAAAUACCACCCUGGUGUGUUUGAGGUUCUAACCUAGGUCCAUUAUCUGGAUCGGGGACUGUGCAUGGUAGGCAGUUUGACUGGUCGGUCUCCUCCCAAAGCGUAACGGAGGAGUUCGAAGGUACGCUAGGUACGGUCGGACAUCGUGCUAAUAGUGCAAUGGCAUAAGCGUGCUUAACUGCGAGACUGACAAGUCGAGCAGAUACGAAAGUAGGACAUAGUGAUCCGGUGGUUCUGUAUGGAAGGGCCAUCGCUCAACGGAUAAAAGGUACUCUGGGGAUAACAGGCUGAUACCGCCCAAGAGUUCAUAUCGACGGCGGUGUUUGGCACCUCGAUGUCGGCUCAUCUCAUCCUGGGGCUGUAGCCGGUCCCAAGGGUAUGGCUGUUCGCCAUUUAAAGAGGUACGUGAGCUGGGUUUAAAACGUCGUGAGACAGUUUGGUCCCUAUCUUCCGUGGGCGCUGCAGAUUUGAGGAAGCCUGCUCCUAGUACGAGAGGACCGGAGUGGACACACCUCUGGUGUAUCGGUUGUCACGCCAGUGGCAUUGCCGAGUAGCUAUGUGUGGAAGAGAUAACCGCUGAAAGCAUCUAAGCGGGAAACUCGUUUCAAGAUGAGAUCUGCCGGGGCCUCGAGCCCCCUAAAGAGUCGUUCAAGACCAGGACGUUGAUAGGUCAGGUGUGGAAGCGCAGUAAUGCGUUAAGCUAACUGAUACUAAUUGCUCGUGCGGCUUGACCU
This 1406-nucleotide ribosomal RNA is filed under the name metagenome. RNAcentral's name for it is "bacterial LSU rRNA". It matches the Rfam family "Bacterial large subunit ribosomal RNA", at positions 1526 to 2925 of the family's 2925-position model. The record is from RNAcentral.